GAUGAACGCUGGCGGCGUGCCUAAUACACGCAAGUCGAGCGAACAGACGAGGAGCUUGCUCCUCUGACGUUAGCGGCGGACGGGUGAGUAACACGUGGAUAACCUACCUAUAAGACUGGGAUAACUUCGGGAAACCGGAGCUAUUACCGGAUAACAUGUUGAACCGCAUGGUUCAACAGUGAAAGACGGUCUUGUUGUCACUUAUAGAUGGAUCCGCGCCGCAUUAGCUAGUUGGUAAGGUAACGGCUUACCAAGGCAACGAUGCGUAGCCGACCUGAGAGGGUGAUCGGCCACACUGGAACUGAGACACGGUCCAGACUCCUACGGGAGGCAGCAGUAGGGAAUCUUCCGCAAUGGGCGAAAGCCUGACGGAGCAACGCCGCGUGAGUGAAGAAGGUCUUCGGAUCGUAAAACUCUGUUAUUAGGGAAGAACAAAUGUGUAAGUAACUAUGCACGUCUUGACGGUACCUAAUCAGAAAGCCACGGCUAACUACGUG
This 497-nucleotide ribosomal RNA is filed under the name uncultured bacterium. Its description in RNAcentral is "partial 16S ribosomal RNA". It matches the Rfam family "Bacterial small subunit ribosomal RNA", at positions 28 to 507 of the family's 1533-position model. The record is from RNAcentral.